This 928-nucleotide ribosomal RNA is filed under the name Acinetobacter lwoffii. Its description in RNAcentral is "bacterial SSU rRNA". It matches the Rfam family "Bacterial small subunit ribosomal RNA", at positions 41 to 967 of the family's 1533-position model. The record is from RNAcentral. Lineage: Bacteria; Pseudomonadati; Pseudomonadota; Gammaproteobacteria; Moraxellales; Moraxellaceae.
GGGGCCGGUUACCAUGCAAGUCGAGCGGGGAAAGGUAGCUUGCUACUUAACCUAGCGGCGGACGGGUGAGUAAUGCUUAGGAAUCUGCCUAUUAGUGGGGGACAACAUCUCGAAAGGGAUGCUAAUACCGCAUACGUCCUACGGGAGAAAGCAGGGGACCUUCGGGCCUUGCGCUAAUAGAUGAGCCUAAGUCGGAUUAGCUAGUUGGUGGGGUAAAGGCCUACCAAGGCGACGAUCUGUAGCGGGUCUGAGAGGAUGAUCCGCCACACUGGGACUGAGACACGGCCCAGACUCCUACGGGAGGCAGCAGUGGGGAAUAUUGGACAAUGGGGGGAACCCUGAUCCAGCCAUGCCGCGUGUGUGAAGAAGGCCUUUUGGUUGUAAAGCACUUUAAGCGAGGAGGAGGCUACCGAGAUUAAUACUCUUGGAUAGUGGACGUUACUCGCAGAAUAAGCACCGGCUAACUCUGUGCCAGCAGCCGCGGUAAUACAGAGGGUGCAAGCGUUAAUCGGAUUUACUGGGCGUAAAGCGCGCGUAGGUGGCCAAUUAAGUCAAAUGUGAAAUCCCCGAGCUUAACUUGGGAAUUGCAUUCGAUACUGGUUGGCUAGAGUAUGGGAGAGGAUGGUAGAAUUCCAGGUGUAGCGGUGAAAUGCGUAGAGAUCUGGAGGAAUACCGAUGGCGAAGGCAGCCAUCUGGCCUAAUACUGACACUGAGGUGCGAAAGCAUGGGGAGCAAACAGGAUUAGAUACCCUGGUAGUCCAUGCCGUAAACGAUGUCUACUAGCCGUUGGGGCCUUUGAGGCUUUAGUGGCGCAGCUAACGCGAUAAGUAGACCGCCUGGGGAGUACGGUCGCAAGACUAAAACUCAAUGAAUUGACGGGGGCCCGCACAAGCGGUGGAGCAUGUGGUUUAUUCGAUGCACGCGAAAA